Spea bombifrons (plains spadefoot toad) is the source of this 68-nucleotide small nucleolar RNA. The record is from RefSeq and is a predicted model, not a curated record. Lineage: Eukaryota; Metazoa; Chordata; Amphibia; Anura; Pelobatidae.
UGGGAAAUGAUGCAGCUCUUUCACCUGAUGAAAACUGAGGGUUCUUGUAUUCAUACUGUCUGAUCCGC